AGCAAAGUUGUAUGGUGUUCACCUUCCCUUUUGCCUGUUUGCAGUGUGUACCCUUAUGUCUGAAAAUGUCAGGGAAAGCUGAUGACUUGGCAUUGUUGGAUUAUGUUUUUUCUCCAUAAAAUCUGAUGUGGCACCAGGAGAAGCAGGAGGUGCAGUACAGGACACUCUGUCAGUGUUUAAUGUGCCUCACCAAGCAGCACCUCCAGCCUACCCAUCUCAGGUCCUCUUUCUGAGGACCCCGAGGGCCACUUUCAUCCCAUCCAUAAAGCCAGAGACUGUAUGUUGAGACCCAGCUCCAGCACAUUCAUUCCUUAGGUUCCAAGCUGUCCCAGACAGCUCCAAUUCCUAUUCCUUUCUCCAUCCCUGCCUGUGUUUGAGGGGUGUUUGAGGCACGCGGGGUUGUCCUCAAGUUGCUGUGUCUUUUUACAUCAGUUCUGUCUCCAUGCUAAUUGAUUGUUGCAUUUAUCAAGCAAUGCACUAAAGUAAAAUCAGAAAUCUGAGUUUUCCUCUGUGUCCACUUCAAUCCAUUCUCCGGGUAGGACAUGCUGAGUCACGCUCAGCCUUCUGGGUGUGACAUCAUGCACUUUUACAAAACAUAAGGCAAACAGGCUUUCACGGGUCUGUUGUUGGCUUACCUCACCGAUCACGGGACGGGGGUGACUCAGUGAGUCUCCUCCUCCUCCUCGAGGUCGGGGAUUUCCUCCCAGCAAGCCCUUCUCCAGCUCAGACCUCUCUCUCCCCAUCACCUCCAGCCUCUGCCCGGUUCCUCAGCCCCCUGGAGAAGCCAUGGGAGGAGCUGUGCUCUGUUCCCAGACCCACUUGAGAAGUUUCUUCUUCUGUUUACACACCACAUAACCCGAGUGGUGGGAGCAUUUUGCACCUCUGAAAAUAAACAGCCAACAUUUAAUGGAGCACAAUGUUUCCCCACCAGCAGCUCUUACUUGUCUGCCACCUUUGCGGCAUGAGGCUACCGUGAAUUCCCGUGGACCUGCUGCUGGCUCAUGUUCUGAUGGAGGUUGUUUGGGCAACGCUUUGUAAAAUCCGAUGCACAGGAUGCACAGGUCCAAGUCCCGCCCCAAGGGGUUUUUUCAGUGUUCCCGAGAGUUCUGCUCAGGGCAUUUCCCUGCUCGGGGAUGUGGUCAGUGCUCGGCCCUGUAGUCCUCCCUGGCUCCUGGCAGAGGAGGGAGGCAGAAACUUUUGAUGCCGUCCAAAGGGCUCCCUCUGCCCAUUUCCUUCCCGGAUUUUCUAACCACUGGCAGAGGCCAUUUCAAGAUUUGAAAAACUUGCUUUAUUUCAUGAACUGAAGGAUAUUCUAAGGAUGCAGAUAGCCAAGACUGCAGAAAUGGGUGACCUGUGCUUUUCCUCCUAAACGAGGCACCCAGAGCACCUCGAGGCGGCCCCUGCACCUUCCUGCAUGCUGGGCUCCCUUCACUGCACACCUCUCCAGAAGGAAAAAAAGUGGAUGCCUAAGGACCCAUCUGGCAGAUUUUCCUUUUCAGGAGAAUUCCCAUGUCUGCUGGAGUGUUGCUGGGAGCAGCUGGCUCCCAGCCCCUCCCCGCCUGCCACCUGGUAUGGCUCCGGGGCGGCGUCCGAGCAUUGCCGAGCGCCUGCAGCUCCACUCCCGCCUCUGGCACGGGCACAGCCUCGCUGUACACUGCUCCCUAACUGACCCAAACAUUUCAAGCAACAGACUUUGAUCACUGGAAGCCAGUCCUACAAUAUUUACAUGCCUGAGAAAUAUUUACUUGCUAAAAGAGCUCUGGGGAAUGGGAAAUGACAGCUUUCUCUGGUUCAGGAAUUAUGCACCCAUGUACAGGGCACCUGAGCUGCCUGCCCCAUGUGAUAAGUUCAGUAUAUAGCGCCCCCAUGUGAUCAAUGCAGUAUACAGCGCCCCAUGUAAUAAGUGUGAUAUAUCGCCCCCACGUAAUAAAUGCAAUAUAUCGCCCCAUGCAAUAAAUUGAUUAUCUCGCCCCAUGUAAUAAAUGCCAUACCUUUUUUCUCCCACCAUGUAAUAAAUUUAUUAUAUCGCCCCGUGUAAUAAAUGCCAUAUAUCGUC
This is a long non-coding RNA of Haemorhous mexicanus (house finch), 2056 nucleotides long. RefSeq lists it as uncharacterized. The transcript is spliced from 2 exons. The record is from RefSeq and is a predicted model, not a curated record. Lineage: Eukaryota; Metazoa; Chordata; Aves; Passeriformes; Fringillidae.